This 497-nucleotide ribosomal RNA is filed under the name uncultured bacterium. RNAcentral's name for it is "partial 16S ribosomal RNA". It matches the Rfam family "Bacterial small subunit ribosomal RNA", at positions 28 to 507 of the family's 1533-position model. The record is from RNAcentral.
GAUGAACGCUGGCGGCGUGCCUAAUACAUGCAAGUCGAGCGAACGGACGAGAAGCUUGCUUCUCUGAUGUUAGCGGCGGACGGGUGAGUAACACGUGGAUAACCUACCUAUAAGACUGGGAUAACUUCGGGAAACCGGAGCUAAUACCGGAUAAUAUUUUGAACCGCAUGGUUCAAAAGUGAAAGACGGUCUUGCUGUCACUUAUAGAUGGAUCCGCGCUGCAUUAGCUAGUUGGUAAGGUAACGGCUUACCAAGGCAACGAUGCAUAGCCGACCUGAGAGGGUGAUCGGCCACACUGGAACUGAGAUACGGUCCAGACUCCUACGGGAGGCAGCAGUAGGGAAUCUUCCGCAAUGGGCGAAAGCCUGACGGAGCAACGCCGCGUGAGUGAUGAAGGUCUUCGGAUCGUAAAACUCUGUUAUUAGGGAAGAACAUAUGUGUAAGUAACUGUGCACAUCUUGACGGUACCUAAUCAGAAAGCCACGGCUAACUACGUG